Molecule: long non-coding RNA, 467 nt
Organism: Epinephelus fuscoguttatus (brown-marbled grouper)
Lineage: Eukaryota; Metazoa; Chordata; Actinopteri; Perciformes; Serranidae
Exons: 3
Source: RefSeq, a predicted model, not a curated record
GUGAAUGCUGUACCCCAGUGCCCACAGAAGAGGAAUGCCUCUGUUGCAAGGAAUGGGACCGGUUGCAGCCUUAGCUAAAUGGUAAACAACAAACAUGGCACCACAUCGGUAAGCAUGUGACCUCCCCUCGGGCUGAUGACGGAGGGAUGCUGGAAAAACCUGCAGCGCUCACCAAACCAGUGGCCGGUCUGCCCUGAGAGGAUUUAGAGGGAAAAACACAGCAGCUCUGGGACACAUAUUAUAUUCCCACUGGCCUUUCACAGCGAGGAGGGAUGUGAUUGGAGCUGUCAGAGACAAAAAUGAUUGUGAAACAUUAUGUGGAAGAAAAAGCCUGGCAGCGUGAUGCGGCUGCAAAUGUGACGGGGAAACAAUUCGGAGAAUAAUUGUGGCGCUUGUGCGGAUGGAAAAGCUGCCAUCAAACUAAACCUAUCACAGAAUUUUUUUUUUUUUUAACUGAAGAAUAAAUG